Molecule: ribosomal RNA, 1343 nt
Filed under: uncultured bacterium
Lineage: Bacteria
Description: 16S ribosomal RNA
Rfam family: Bacterial small subunit ribosomal RNA
Source: RNAcentral
GACGAACCCUUGCGGCGUGCUUAACACAUGCAAGUCGAACGGAAAGGCCCUGCUUUUGUGGGGUGCUCGAGUGGCGAACGGGUGAGUAACACGUGAGUAACCUGCCCUUGACUUUGGGAUAACUUCAGGAAACUGGGGCUAAUACCGGAUAGGAGCUCCUGCUGCAUGGUGGGGGUUGGAAAGUUUCGGCGGUUGGGGAUGGACUCGCGGCUUAUCAGCUUGCUGGUGGGGUAGUGGCUUACCAAGGCUUUGACGGGUAGCCGGCCUGAGAGGGUGACCGGCCACAUUGGGACUGAGAUACGGCCCAGACUCCUACGGGAGGCAGCAGUGGGGAAUAUUGCACAAUGGGCGGAAGCCUGAUGCAGCAACGCCGCGUGCGGGAUGACGGCCUUCGGGUUGUAAACCGCUUUCGCCUGUGACGAAGCGUGAGUGACGGUAAUGGGUAAAGAAGCACCGGCUAACUACGUGCCAGCAGCCGCGGUGAUACGUAGGGUGCGAGCGUUGUCCGGAUUUAUUGGGCGUAAAGGGCUCGUAGGUGGUUGAUCGCGUCGGAAGUGUAAUCUUGGGGCUUAACCCUGAGUGUGCUUUCGAUACGGGUUGACUUGAGGAAGGUAGGGGAGAAUGGAAUUCCUGGUGGAGCGGUGGAAUGCGCAGAUAUCAGGAGGAACACCAGUGGCGAAGGCGGUUCUCUGGGCCUUUCCUGACGCUGAGGAGCGAAAGCGUGGGGAGCGAACAGGCUUAGAUACCCUGGUAGUCCACGCCGUAAACGGUGGGUACUAGGUGUGGGGUUCAUUCCACGGGUUCCGUGCCGUAGCUAACGCUUUAAGUACCCCGCCUGGGGAGUACGGCCGCAAGGCUAAAACUCAAAGGAAUUGACGGGGCCCCGCACAAGCGGCGGAGCAUGCGGAUUAAUUCGAUGCAACGCGUAGAACCUUACCUGGGUUUGACAUGGAUCGGGAGUGCUCAGAGAUGGGUGUGCCUCUUUUGGGGUCGGUUCACAGGUGGUGCAUGGCUGUCGUCAGCCCGUGUCGUGAGAUGUUGGGUUAAGUCCCGCAACGAGCGCAACCCUUGUUCACUGUUGCCAGCACGUUAUGGUGGGGACUCAGUGGAGACCGCCGGGGUCAACUCGGAGGAAGGUGGGGAUGACGUCAAGUCAUCAUGCCCCUUAUGUCCAGGGCUUCACGCAUGCUACAAUGGCUGGUACAGAGAGUGGCGAGCCUGUGAGGGUGAGCGAAUCUCGGAAAGCCGGUCUCAGUUCGGAUUGGGGUCUGCAACUCGACCUCAUGAAGUCGGAGUCGCUAGUAAUCGCAGAUCAGCAACGCUGCGGUGAAUACGUUCCCGGG